RNAcentral lists this ribosomal RNA (462 nucleotides) under uncultured bacterium. RNAcentral's name for it is "bacterial SSU rRNA". It matches the Rfam family "Bacterial small subunit ribosomal RNA", at positions 330 to 792 of the family's 1533-position model. The record is from RNAcentral.
UCCAGACUCCUACGGGAGGCAGCAGUGGGGAAUAUUGCACAAUGGGGGGAACCCUGAUGCAGCGACGCCGCGUGGGUGAAGGAGCACCUCGGUGCGUAAAGCCCUAUCGGCAGGGAAGAAAAGAGAACAGGUUCGCCUGGACGGUACCUGACUAAGAAGCCCCGGCUAACUACGUGCCAGCAGCCGCGGGAAUACGUAGGGGGCGAGCGUUGUCCGGAAUGACUGGGCGUAAAGGGUGUGUAGGCGGUUUAUUAAGUUAGAAGUGAAAUACCUAGGGCUUAACCCAGGUGCUGCUUCUAAAACUGAUAGACUUGAGUGCAGUAGAGGAAAGUGGAAUUCCUAGUGUAGCGGUGGAAUGCGUAGAUAUUAGGAGGAACAUCAGUGGCGAAGGCGACUUUCUGGACUGUAACUGACGCUGAGGCACGAAAGUGUGGGGAGCAAACAGGAUUAGAUACCCGAGUA